RNAcentral lists this ribosomal RNA (336 nucleotides) under Pelobates cultripes (western spadefoot toad). Its description in RNAcentral is "SSU_rRNA_microsporidia". It matches the Rfam family "Eukaryotic small subunit ribosomal RNA", at positions 109 to 467 of the family's 1831-position model. The record is from RNAcentral. Lineage: Eukaryota; Metazoa; Chordata; Amphibia; Anura; Pelobatidae.
GAGGUAGCCAACACUGUAUUAUAUUUUAAUUGGGGUAGCCCCCAAAAUAUUGGGACAUAUAAAAAAAAGACAACUCUGUUCCGCAGAGUAGUUGUUGACAUUAUAGUUGCGCAGGCACUUUGUUGACUCUAGAGAACCUAUGGCCAAUCGCACAUUCCCGUGGCGGCGACUUUGCAUGCGGAUGUCAUCCAUAUCAACUUUUGAUGCCAGUUUCUGCGCCUACCAUAGUGACCACGGGUAACGGGGAAUCAGGGUUCCUUUCCGUACAGGGACACUGAGAAACGGCAAGGGAGGCAGCAGGCGCGCAAAUUAUCCACUCCCGACGCGGGAAGGUAG